GAGGUGAGUAGAGGCGCGUUGCAUCAUCAGUACCGCGGGGAGAGCCCGAAAGCUCUGGGAACCGAUUGGGAAAGGGAUCAUCGCCGAAGCUUGGGCCGCUUUUCGGGUUGCUCACGGCUGGGUCUGCAUCGAACAGGUGCAGGACUGUCACACAGGAGGGGCCCACCACCUGUGUGGAGGACUAUCUCACAU
Molecule: non-coding RNA, 192 nt
Filed under: Tumebacillus algifaecis
Lineage: Bacteria; Bacillati; Bacillota; Bacilli; Caryophanales; Alicyclobacillaceae
Description: Lysine sequence
Rfam family: Lysine riboswitch aptamer
About the family: Riboswitches are metabolite binding domains within certain messenger RNAs that serve as precision sensors for their corresponding targets.
Source: Rfam by way of RNAcentral